AGCCGACAGUGGCAUACCUACAGACUGCUUUAAAUUCACACCGAAAAUACGGGACACACUAACGAGAAAACGUUGGUAUUUUAAGGAAGAUAAAGAAAAAUUAACACGCGUCCAAGUUUUCUGUAAUACGCAACAGGCACAGCGUCCAAUAACAGGAAGUCAUGAUACGUCCGUUCCCAAACAGAAACCGGUCCUC
Long non-coding RNA from Etheostoma cragini (Arkansas darter), 196 nucleotides. RefSeq lists it as uncharacterized. Lineage: Eukaryota; Metazoa; Chordata; Actinopteri; Perciformes; Percidae. The record is from RefSeq and is a predicted model, not a curated record. The transcript is spliced from 2 exons.